AUUGAACGCUGGCGGCAUGCCUUACACAUGCAAGUCGAACAGCAGCGGACCUUCGGGUGCCGGCGAGUGGCGAACGGGUGAGUAAUAUAUCGGGAACGUACCUUUCAGUGGGGGAUAACGUAGCGAAAGUUACGCUAAUACCGCAUAUUCUGUGAGCAGGAAAGCAGGGGAUCGCAAGACCUUGCGCUGAUUGAGCGGCCGAUAUCAGAUUAGCUAGUUGGUGAGGUAAAGGCUCACCAAGGCGACGAUCUGUAGCGGGUCUGAGAGGAUGAUCCGCCACACUGGAACUGAGACACGGUCCAGACCCCUACCGGGAGGGCAGCAGUGGGGAAGUUUUAGGUACAAUGGGCGGCAAGCCUGAUCCAGCCAUGCCGCGUGAGUGAAG
RNAcentral lists this ribosomal RNA (385 nucleotides) under uncultured bacterium. RNAcentral describes it as "bacterial SSU rRNA". It matches the Rfam family "Bacterial small subunit ribosomal RNA", at positions 30 to 410 of the family's 1533-position model. The record is from RNAcentral.